This 229-nucleotide ribosomal RNA is filed under the name uncultured bacterium. RNAcentral describes it as "partial 16S ribosomal RNA". It matches the Rfam family "Bacterial small subunit ribosomal RNA", at positions 568 to 796 of the family's 1533-position model. The record is from RNAcentral.
UACGUGGGCGGAAAAUUAAGUCAGUGGUGAAAUCCUGCAGCUUAACUGUAGAACUGUCAUUGAUACUGGUUUUCUUGAAUAUAGUUGAGGUAGGCGGAAUGUGUAAUGUAGCGGUGAAAUGCUUAGAUAUUACACAGAACACCGAUUGCGAAGGCAGCUUACUAAACUAUUAUUGACGCUGAGGUACGAAAGCGUGGGGAGCGAACAGGAUUAGAUACCCUGGUAGUCC